Molecule: long non-coding RNA, 1332 nt
Filed under: Gossypium barbadense (sea-island cotton)
Lineage: Eukaryota; Viridiplantae; Streptophyta; Magnoliopsida; Malvales; Malvaceae
Description: long non-coding RNA (GBAR_LNC012008)
Source: RNAcentral
UGGGAAUUGAACUUAGUGUGAUUUUUCAGUACAAUAUUUUUACUCUUUCACACGCUUCCGCACAACAAUUAAAGUAUAUCUCAUCAAUUUAAUUAAUUCAAGUUUUUUCAUUCAAUUCGAUUCGAAUUGACUUGAUUCAAUACUGCCCUUAAUUUUUCUUCUUUCCCUUAAAUUUUUUCAUCACAAAAAAAAGCCAUUAAUACCUUAAAUACCUCCAAAAUCUCAAUUUUAUUCCUAAAGUUAGUUGUGGAGUGUUAGACCUAUUCAUGAAUUUAGGUGGAAUAUUAGACCUAUUCAUGAAUUUAGUUGAAUCCUAAAAAAUUUAGACCCGAUUACUAAGCCCGGCAGAGAUUGACGCAACCCAAUUUCAGCUCGAAACACUACUAGACGACGAGAAAAACAGUUCAAAAAGAAAACUCAUUCAUAUUAGGACAAAACACCACUAGAAUUAAUGAAACCACCACGACGUUGUUUAAUUUGAAACUGAAAGUGAUACAUCACCUCCAAAAGACCUCAUUGGAUUAAUGACGCAGUAAACAAAGCCAGAACAACAAUGAAAUUGGCAGUAUCAGGAAGGAAAACAUGCAUUGUGAAAAAUCAACUACAGAGAUUAAAUCAAAAUGUCAAGAUAGAAGAACGAAAAUCUUGAAGUACGGUGCAUAUAUACCGAGCAAACCAAUGGGACGACGACGACUGAGGGCUGGAGCAGAGAAGGCCUCGGUAGUGGUGAACGCCGGUAACAGAGGAAGCAACAGGAAGACGGACGAGGCAAUGGUGAUGGGCUGGAGUGGGACGACGCAACGAUGAUAGGCACAAAACUGAGGAAGCGGGAGACGGAGUGGUGAGCGGGAGACAGACGAGCAGCGACGUUGGAGGUCACUGGUGGAGGUCAUGAGUGGCACUAGGUAUUUUGAUUAUAGAAACUGAUAGUGAAUUAAAGAUUGGGAAUAACUGAUAAGGGGAAUGAGGGAGUCACAUUUGACAGCAGUAAGCCAGGCAGUAAACCAAGUGAUGGGAUGGGAGUGUUUGGUGGGUGGUCAAGUGCCACUUUGCACUCCACGUUAGAGUCCCACUUCAUUACUCAACUCUUAUUUUCUAUUAACCCCAUUGAUUAGUCCACACCACAUCGAAUCUCGCGUUUCAAAAUCUAAUAAAUAAGUAAAUAUUAAUUAAUUAGUGGUCUGUAUUGAUAAAUACAACUUUAGUUAAUUAUGAUAAAAACUUGUAAAACAAGAAUCAUACCACGCUGACAACUCGUUAAAUACGGUUCGUUGCCUUCCAUACAUACAAGCAAAACUACAAACAGAGUCCUCAACCAAAAAGCACUCUUUC